This 463-nucleotide ribosomal RNA is filed under the name uncultured bacterium. RNAcentral describes it as "partial 16S ribosomal RNA". It matches the Rfam family "Bacterial small subunit ribosomal RNA", at positions 30 to 507 of the family's 1533-position model. The record is from RNAcentral.
CGAACGCUGGCGGCGUGCUUAACACAUGCACGUCGACCGGAAAGGCCCUGCUUGCAGGGUCCUCGAGUGGCGAACGGGUGAGUAACACGUGGGUGAUCUGCCCUGCACUUCGGGAUAAGCCUGGGAAACUGGGUCUAAUACCGGAUAGGAGCCAUUUUUAGUGUGAUGGUUGGAAAGUUUUUUCGGUGUAGGAUGAGCUCGCGGCCUAUCAGCUUGUUGGUGGGGUAAUGGCCUACCAAGGCGGCGACGGGUAGCCGGCCUGAGAGGGUGGACGGCCACAUUGGGACUGAGAUACGGCCCAGACUCCUACGGGAGGCAGCAGUGGGGAAUAUUGCACAAUGGGCGCAAGCCUGAUGCAGCGACGCCGCGUGGGGGAUGACGGCCUUCGGGUUGUAAACUCCUUUCGCUAGGGACGAAGCUUUUUGUGACGGUACCUAGAGAAGAAGCACCGGCUAACUACGUG